This 463-nucleotide non-coding RNA is filed under the name Acromyrmex echinatior (Panamanian leafcutter ant). RNAcentral's name for it is "Eukaryotic large subunit ribosomal RNA". It matches the Rfam family "Eukaryotic large subunit ribosomal RNA", at positions 1911 to 2297 of the family's 3401-position model. The record is from Rfam by way of RNAcentral. Lineage: Eukaryota; Metazoa; Arthropoda; Insecta; Hymenoptera; Formicidae.
AAAUCGGCAAAUUGGAUCCGUAACUUCGGAAUAAAGAUUGGGUUCGAGGAACGUGUUGGGCUUGGUCGGAAAGUGAAUCUGGCUGACGUGCUGGGACUGUGCUAGAUGAACCUUUCGAUGUUCUCACGCCGAUUCCGGGAUCCAAAGUCAGUCCCGUGCCUUGGACUCCCGCGGAUCUUCCUUGCUGCGAGGCUUCCCUGGCGACGCGAGCCGUUGUGGUUGUUCUCUUCGGCCGCCAUUCAACGCUCAGCUCAUAACUGGCUCGGACAAGAAGAAUCCGACUGUUUAAUUAAAACAAAGCAUUGCUCUCGCGGGUGUUGGUGCAAUAUGAUUUCUGUCUAGUGCUCUGAAUGUCAACGUGAAGAAAUUCAAGCAAGCGCGAAUAAACGGCGGGAAUAACAAUGACUCUCUUAAGUGUUUUCGGCAAUUCCUAUCACUAUGACGGCGGCGAUUGCUCUCACCA